Non-coding RNA from Pelobates cultripes (western spadefoot toad), 5665 nucleotides. The record is from the annotation of a GenBank genome assembly. Lineage: Eukaryota; Metazoa; Chordata; Amphibia; Anura; Pelobatidae.
GCAGACACUGCAUCCCUGUGGUGGACUCGGGGGGGCAGCACUUUGGGCGGACUUGGGUGCAGGCACCAGGGGGCCCAGACCUUGAGCUGUGUCAGGGGUCCCAAAAUUUCUGAUGGCAGCCCUGCUUGGGGACACUGGGAGACAUGGGGGCGCUUGUGAAUACAGACAUGGGGACACUGGGAGACAUGGGGACACAGACAUUUGGGGACACUGGGAGAAAUGGGGACACUGAGACACAGGGGCACACAGACAUGGGGACACAGACACUGGGAGACAUGGGGACACUGAAACAUUUGGGGACACUAAGACACUAGGGACAUUGAGAGACUAGGGCACACUGGGAGACUAGGGGACACUGGGAGACAUGGGGACACUGAGACACUAGGGACACUUGUGGACAUAGACAUGGGGACACUGGGAGACAUGGGGACACAGACAUUUGGGGACACUGGGAGACAUGGGGACACACACUGGGAGAAUUGGGGACACUGGGAGACAUGGGGACACCGAGGACACUGGCUGGGAGACAUGGGAACACUGAGUCACUAGGGACACUGAGAGACAUGGGAACACAGACACUGGGAGACUAGGGGAAACUGGGAGCCACUAGGGACACUGUUUGGGGAACAUGGGGACACUGAGGGACAUGUCCCUAGUGUCUCCAUGUCUCAGUGUCUCCCAAUGACCCUAUGUCUCACAGCGUCCCCAUGUGUCUCAGCAUCCCCAUGUCUCUCAAACUAUUUAGCAUGGGUGUUUUUUUUGGCGGUUGUAGAUGCGUAACAGAUUUCGGGGGUAAAAGUCAGAAAAAGUGUGUUUUUUUACAUUAUUUCAUCAUAUAUUAUAAUUUUUUAUAGUGAAUUAUAUGAUUAAAAUAAUGGUAUCUUUAGAAAUACCAUUUAAUGGCGAGAAACACGGUAUAUAACAUGUGUGGGUGCAGUAAAUGAGUACGAGGAGAAUUACAGCUUAACGGUAAGAAAAUUGAAAAACGGUCUGGUCACUAAGGGGUUAAACAUGUUGUAACGGAUCCCCUGGCACCCUGACUGGGUACCUCCGUUGAAUGAUGCUCCUAGCGCUUCCUGAGGAUUCCAAGCACUGCAGCAGACACCACAACCACCGAACCGGAGAAGCAUAUGAAUGCUCUCAAGCAUAUGAAUACUGUAAGCAGCUGAACAGGAAAAGCAUACAAUAGGCUUACACUCCUGGCAAUCAGCAUACAAUCCAAUUCCCCCAAUAACGAGACGACACUUCGUUUUGAGGUCAAGCAGAACUGACUGUACUGGCACAUACAGCCUCUUUUAUUCCCAAUCCACAAACUUAGUACUGCCCACAGGGUUUUACAGAACAACCAAUAACACACGUACAUUACAGAAAACACUACCAGCAAAUAUACACAAAAUCCUCCACUCUGCUUGUGAUCUAAUUAUGGCACACAAUGGGUUAAUAUAAUUAUCACAAGCAGGAAAAAUACAGUAUCAUAAAACACAUCACAGGGACCCCAAAACAUACAAUAACCCCAUAAAAAGUAUAUCCUCGGAACUGGGGGAUCUGGGUGAACCACAUAUCCAAAAUUCACCCAGAUCCGUUCAGGCCCUGGGGAGAUAGCGCAGCUAAGCGGACAAGGGCACAUGUAGGAGUGUGGGGAUAGAUGCAUGGGAUUGGUUGGGAAAGAGUGUGUGGGUGGGAUUAUGUUCUGUGUAAGUUAGUGUGGGGGAGGUCUUACCUCAGUGCCACUCGGGAUUCGGGCCAGCAAACAGCUUCCCUCCCACCCGCCCUAUUAGUAUAUUUAGUCACGGCUAGCCGGGGGUAUGUCCUUGCCAAUUGAGUUUGAGGGGUUACGUUUAAGUAUAUGGAAUGAGAUGAACAAGUUUUUUAGGUCUCAACCUCCCCUGCUUCAAAAGGUUUACAUUAGGUUGCCUGAAGUGUCGUGCCCAUCGAGCGUGGAUAAGGUCGGCUGAUGGCGGCCAUUGGAAAGAUAUGAUUUUUAUGACGAGGGGGGAGGUGAGAGGAAGUGGUGAUUAGGAACCACUGUAUUUUUAUUGGCAAGGACGGUUGGGUCACUGUAUAACACUAUGUGUGGAUGUGGCGAAACCGGCCUCGCCACGUGUCCUUGGAGGGGGCUGCUUGCCCGCCUCUUGCCUUUGGACUAUGGACCAGACUGUAUGUGAAUGUGUUAUACCCCAGAUAGGAAUCCCAUGGAGCCCAUUCGUAUGAAACUGACUGUAAAGACUUUGGCUCCAUGGCGAUUAAACUGUAUUUGUGUGGUCCGAGCGCCAUUCACUUAAUAAUGUGCACUCAGACCUGAGCUAUCUGGGGAUAUGUGAAAUGUCUGUGUGUUAUGUGUAAAAUGUGACUUUAUGUAUUUUAAAGUGUUUUGUGUCUUUUUGCAACCAUGUGCUUAAUGGAGUCUUGUGUCUAUCCUGGGAGAUAAUUGAAUUACUUAUCUCCAGGAUAGAAGACUCUGAAACUGGUUUGGGCCAGAAAGCCAUGCUUCAUUUAGUCACAAAGGACUUUUUACUAACUUUUGAACCCCUUGUCUGAUUUGUGCCAUUUUUGAAUAUGUUGUUCCCCUGAAUGGAUUGAUUGUGAAUAUGUAAUUUUAUGUGAAUGUGAUGUAUGGUUUGGAGUUAUGAAAGUUGGGUAGAAAGUAUGUUUUAACUGUAUGUAUAAUUGAGUUUCCUCUCAGGAUAAGGGGAGGGAAUAUGUGGGAUGUAACUGUGAUGUGAUUGGUUGUUUUGUAACGCCCUGUGGGCUGUACUAUGUUUGUGGAUUGGGAAUAAAAGAGACUGUAUGUGACAGUACAGGGAGUUCCUGUUUAACCCUCAAAGUGAAGUGUGUCUCAUUAUUGGGGGAAGGAUUUAUUGUAUGCUGUUCCAGUUUGACUGCUAGGAGAGUAAACCUAUUCGUAUGGUUCCUAUUCAACUGUCUACAGCAUUCAUAUGCUUGAGAGGAUUCAUAUGCUUCUCCGGUUCGGUGGUUGUGGUGUCUGCUGCAGUGCUUGGAGUCCUCAGGAAGCGCUAGGAGCAUCCUUUAACGGAGGUACCCAGUCGGGGUGCCAGGUGAUCCGUUACAUUGGUGGCAAGCGGUGGGAUGGUGUCCUAGUGCGAGGUAAAGCAGCUCAGAGACACAGUUCGUGGAGUUACAAAUUGAGGGCAACGCUAGCACACGUGCAGCGCCCCUGGGAGCAGAGGUAUCCAGCGACUUGGAGCAGACAAGCAUGGAAGGCUCUGGCGAUGAUUGGAUGGCCGAGGUGAGGCAGCGAGUGGCCCAGUAUGGGGAUGAUUUACCCAUGGAGGUACGCCGGGUGAUCUGGAACCAGGUCACGGCCGAGCGAAACACAAGGCUGGCCCGAGAAUUCCGGCUGGCGAAAGAGAGAGUAUGCUCAGCGGAAGGAGUGUUACAGCAGCCGAGUAGAGGCUGCAUCCGAGGAGGCUAGCCGUCUCCCCCUGAGGCGGCCGCAGGAACCCGAAGUAGGGGUCCUCAUAGACUGGUCCUGUGAGGAACCACAACAGGCAGGUGGAGAUGGGACCGGCCCAGAUCCCCAGCAGCAGCCGGAGUUGCCAGGUGCGGAAGCAGGUGGUCCUUACUCGCAAAUGUUGAGGGACCUCACAGACUGGUCCUGGGAAGACCCACAGAUGGCAGGUGGAGAUGGGAUGGCGGUCUCUCUACCGGCCCUACAGGGAUGCUGGGCGGUCGGCCCAGAUCUCCAGCGGCAGUAUGUAUCACAGGGAGCUGAAGGUGCUGUCCUUCCUCCCCAGCGGCAGUGUGAGUUCCAGGGAGCCGAAUGUGCUAUCCUUCCUCCCCAGCAACAGUGUGAGUUCCAGGGAGCCAAAGGUGCUGUCCUUCCUCCCCAGCGGCAGUCUUUUUCCCAGGGAACGGAAGGUGCAGUCCUUCCUCCCCAGCGGCAGUGUGUCCUGCAGGAAGCGGAGACAGUCUGUCUUUCACCCCAGCCACAGGACAAAAUAUUGAAAGGGGAGACAGUUGGUCCCCCUCUCCACCAGCAAAGAGAGUGUCAGGGAGAGGAGCAGGUUACCCCCUCUCCCCAGCGGCAGUCUACAGUUCAGAGAGAGGAGCUUGUUACACCCUCUCUCCAGCGGCAGCCUAACCCACCAAGGGGAGAUGUUAAGCCCCACAACUAUGCAGAUGGGACCGUAGUCUCUGCACUUGCAGCACCAGGGGUAGGGACGGUCGGUCCUGUCCCCCAGCCACAGAGCAGUGUAUCCAGAGGGGAGACAGUCGGUCUCCCCCUCCCCACAACCAGGCUCCAACCAGGCUACUUCAGUGGUAGCGCUGGCACCCGGGCAGAGUACCGCUGGUCUCUGCCCACUCAGCAACCCACCAAGGCAGUCUACCAGCCCCCCGCACAGCCGUGGUGAGGCACCUGGACAUGGACAAGUUGCUAUUUUAUCCAGGUGUAGUAACCAGUUAUUGUGGGUGGGCUGUAUUGCUGUUUGUGCUUCGUGGGUGGGUUGCUGGACUAACCAGGGCACUGACCGGCAGGAGGUCAGAUACCCUGUUAGUUUGGAUGGUAAAGGGGAGAAAUGUGGCGAAACCGGCCUCGCCACGUGUCCUUGGAGGGGGCUGCUUGCCCGCCUCUUGCCUUUGGACUAUGGACCAGACUGUAUGUGAAUGUGUUAUACCCCAGAUAGGAAUCCCAUGGAGCCCAUUCGUAUGAAACUGACUGUAAAGACUUUGGCUCCAUGGCGAUUAAACUGUAUUUGUGUGGUCCGAGCGCCAUUCACUUAAUAAUGUGCGCUCAGACCUGAGCUAUCUGGGGAUAUGUGAAAUGUCUGUGUGUUAUGUGUAAAAUGUGACUUUAUGUAUUUUAAAGUGUUUUGUGUCUUUUUGCAACCAUGUGCUUAAUGGAGUCUUGUGUCUGUCCUGGGAGAUAAUUGAAUUACUUAUCUCCAGGAUAGAAGACUCUGAAACUGGUUUGGGCCAGAAAGCCAUGCUUCAUUUAGUCACAAAGGACUUUUUACUAACUUUUGAACCCCUUGUCUGAUUUGUGCCAUUUUUGAAUAUGUUGUUCCCCUGAAUGGAUUGAUUGUGAAUAUGUAAUUUUAUGUGAAUGUGAUGUAUGGUUUUGGAGUUAUGAAAGUUGGGUAGAAAGUAUGUUUUAACUGUAUGUAUAAUUGAGUUUCCUCUCAGGAUAAGGGGAGGGAAUAUGUGGGAUGUAACUGUGAUGUGAUUGGUUGUUUUGUAACGCCCUGUGGGCUGUACUAUGUUUGUGGAUUGGGAAUAAAAGAGACUGUAUGUGACAGUACAGGGAGUUCCUGCUUAACCCUCAAAGUGAAGUGUCGUCUCAUUAUUGGGGGAAGGAUUUAUUGUAUGCUGUUCCAGUUUGACUGCUAGGAGAGUAAACCUAUUCGUAUGGUUCCUAUUCAACUGUCUACAGCAUUCAUAUGCUUGAGAGGAUUCAUAUGCUUCUCCGGUUCGGUGGUUGUGGUGUCUGCUGCAGUGCUUGGAGUCCUCAGGAAGCGCUAGGAGCAUCCUUUAACGGAGGUACCCAGUCGGGGUGCCAGGUGAUCCGUUACAGUGGAGUUUAUAUGUAUAUAUGUUAAUUUAUGCUUAUUUAUGUCUAACGUUUUGGUUACAGAAAAAGAAGAGAUUUAAUAAAUAAAGUUAUGGAUGUGUUAUGCAGUAAAUUUAGUUUGUGAUAAUAAAUGCU